AAACAUGUACGCAUCAUCUCACUUCCCUCGGAGAGACAGAGAGAGAGCACACCGGCUUGUGGCGGUGGGUAGCAUGCCAUGCUCAGCCUCGAUCUGGCCAAGGGCGGCGUGGAGGAGGCCGCAUGGCCUCUAUCCAGCCAAGGGCGCUGCAGAGGAUGGCCACCCACCCUCGAUCCGGCCAAGAGCGCCACCGAGGACAGCCGCUCGGCCUUAAUUGAGCCAAAUACAACAUGGAGGAGAUCCACCUAGCCUCAAUUCGACCAACGACAACAUGGAGGAGGGCCGCCCGGCCUGGAUCUGACCAACUGCAGUCGCGGAGGAGGCAGGGUGUGAAGGCCCCCUCGAAUAUCGGUACUCUUCCAUGGUGGCAUCUCCUUUCGGUGUGGUCUGCGUGUGGGGCAUGGUGGCAUGAGUACUGAGCGGAAGACAGAUGAAGGAGCAGAAGUUGACAGCCUCCUCCCCCGUGUGAUACGGAUGAAGGAGCAGAAGCUGAUAGCCUCUUCCCCUGCAGUGGCUCGGAUCCUCGCCGUCUGUGCGUCCCAGGUUCUGCGUCCUCUAAUGGGAACCCUUCCUCCCUUCUGUGUAUGGUUGUGAUUCUUUCUGCUCGGUGCUAAACCCCGGUGACCUGUGGAUCAAUGAUCCUUGUGAUUAGUGGCUAACCUUCAGUUGCUUGUCCGAGGUUCUGAUUGGAUUAUAUUGCAAAGAUUUUGGUGAUGUUUUGAAUCCGGCAAAGACUUGCUCCUCCCUGGUGCGUACAGUAAAGAUCCAAGACAUUCUUUAAUUCUUUAAUGAGUCGUGGUGCAAGCUUUAGACCACGGCUAUUGUGGCAAUGCCUGCCAACAAUAUUU
Molecule: long non-coding RNA, 848 nt
Filed under: Setaria italica (foxtail millet)
Lineage: Eukaryota; Viridiplantae; Streptophyta; Magnoliopsida; Poales; Poaceae
Description: long non-coding RNA (SITA_LNC005864)
Source: RNAcentral